This 407-nucleotide ribosomal RNA is filed under the name uncultured bacterium. RNAcentral's name for it is "partial 16S ribosomal RNA". It matches the Rfam family "Bacterial small subunit ribosomal RNA", at positions 28 to 526 of the family's 1533-position model. The record is from RNAcentral.
GACGAACGCUGGCGGCGUGCCUAAUACAUGCAAGUAGAACGCAGUUGCGAACGGGUGAGUAACGCGUAGGUAACUGCCUGGUAGCGGGGGACAACUAUCGGAAACGAUAGCUAAUACCGCAUACUACCAGAUGGACCUGCGUUGUAUUAGCUAGUUGGUGGGGUAACGGCUCACCAAGGCAACGAUACAUAGCCGACCUGAGAGGGCAAACGGCCAAACUGGCGAUGAGACACGGGCCAGGCUUCUGCAGGAGGCAGCAGUGGCGAAAAUUCGGCGACAGACGGCAGUCUGACGGAACAAAGCAGCGUGAGUGAAGCAGGUUUUCGGAUCGUAAAGCUAUGUUGUAAGCGAAGCGGUAUCUGACCAGAAAGGGACGGCUAACUACGUGCCAGCAGCCGCGGUAAUUC